This 218-nucleotide ribosomal RNA is filed under the name uncultured bacterium. RNAcentral describes it as "partial 16S ribosomal RNA". It matches the Rfam family "Bacterial small subunit ribosomal RNA", at positions 1275 to 1500 of the family's 1533-position model. The record is from RNAcentral.
UCGAAAGCCUAUCUCAGUUCGGAUUGGAGGCUGAAACCCGCCUCCAUGAAGUUGGAUUCGCUAGUAAUCGCGCAUCAGCCAUGGCGCGGUGAAUACGUUCCCGGGCCUUGUACACACCGCCCGUCAAGCCAUGGGAGCCGGGGGUACCUGAAGUGCGUAACCGCGAGGAUCGCCCUAGGGUAAAACUGGUGACUGGGGCUAAGUCGUAACAAGGUAGC